RNAcentral lists this ribosomal RNA (1325 nucleotides) under Vibrio sp. 2C7. Its description in RNAcentral is "bacterial SSU rRNA". It matches the Rfam family "Bacterial small subunit ribosomal RNA", at positions 93 to 1414 of the family's 1533-position model. The record is from RNAcentral. Lineage: Bacteria; Pseudomonadati; Pseudomonadota; Gammaproteobacteria; Vibrionales; Vibrionaceae.
GAGCGGCGGACGGGUGAGUAAUGCCUAGGAAAUUGCCCUGAUGUGGGGGAUAACCAUUGGAAACGAUGGCUAAUACCGCAUAAUGCCUACGGGCCAAAGAGGGGGACCUUCGGGCCUCUCGCGUCAGGAUAUGCCUAGGUGGGAUUAGCUAGUUGGUGAGGUAAUGGCUCACCAAGGCGACGAUCCCUAGCUGGUCUGAGAGGAUGAUCAGCCACACUGGAACUGAGACACGGUCCAGACUCCUACGGGAGGCAGCAGUGGGGAAUAUUGCACAAUGGGCGCAAGCCUGAUGCAGCCAUGCCGCGUGUGUGAAGAAGGCCUUCGGGUUGUAAAGCACUUUCAGUCGUGAGGAAGGUGGUGUAGUUAAUAGCUGUAUCAUUUGACGUUAGCGACAGAAGAAGCACCGGCUAACUCCGUGCCAGCAGCCGCGGUAAUACGGAGGGUGCGAGCGUUAAUCGGAAUUACUGGGCGUAAAGCGCAUGCAGGUGGUUUGUUAAGUCAGAUGUGAAAGCCCGGGGCUCAACCUCGGAAUAGCAUUUGAAACUGGCAGACUAGAGUACUGUAGAGGGGGGUAGAAUUUCAGGUGUAGCGGUGAAAUGCGUAGAGAUCUGAAGGAAUACCGGUGGCGAAGGCGGCCCCCUGGACAGAUACUGACACUCAGAUGCGAAAGCGUGGGGAGCAAACAGGAUUAGAUACCCUGGUAGUCCACGCCGUAAACGAUGUCUACUUGGAGGUUGUGGCCUUGAGCCGUGGCUUUCGGAGCUAACGCGUUAAGUAGACCGCCUGGGGAGUACGGUCGCAAGAUUAAAACUCAAAUGAAUUGACGGGGGCCCGCACAAGCGGUGGAGCAUGUGGUUUAAUUCGAUGCAACGCGAAGAACCUUACCUACUCUUGACAUCCAGAGAACUUUUCAGAGAUGGAUUGGUGCCUUCGGGAACUCUGAGACAGGUGCUGCAUGGCUGUCGUCAGCUCGUGUUGUGAAAUGUUGGGUUAAGUCCCGCAACGAGCGCAACCCUUAUCCUUGUUUGCCAGCGAGUAAUGUCGGGAACUCCAGGGAGACUGCCGGUGAUAAACCGGAGGAAGGUGGGGACGACGUCAAGUCAUCAUGGCCCUUACGAGUAGGGCUACACACGUGCUACAAUGGCGCAUACAGAGGGCAGCAAGCUAGCGAUAGUGAGCGAAUCCCAAAAAGUGCGUCGUAGUCCGGAUUGGAGUCUGCAACUCGACUCCAUGAAGUCGGAAUCGCUAGUAAUCGUGGAUCAGAAUGCCACGGUGAAUACGUUCCCGGGCCUUGUACACACCGCCCGUCACACCAUGGGAGUGGG